Felis catus (domestic cat) is the source of this 1409-nucleotide long non-coding RNA. RefSeq lists it as uncharacterized. The transcript has 2 exons. Lineage: Eukaryota; Metazoa; Chordata; Mammalia; Carnivora; Felidae. The record is from RefSeq and is a predicted model, not a curated record.
UCCGGGCCGGCAGAGCCCCUGCGGGACACGCUGCCCUGGCCGGGCGCACUGCGUCCGGGCACCUGCCCCUGAAGGAGUCCCAGGACUGGGGAGCCCGGGGGCCCAGGCGCUCGGGGAGGGGGGGGCAACCCCUGGAGACCCAUCCCCUCGUCUGCGCAGCGUGCACAGAUGUCUGUGACACACGGGGAACGGUCUCGAUCUCCACAAGAGGACCUCGGCAUCACAAGGGGGCGGCUCAGAGAGCGAACUGUCUCCGCCAGCAGGUCUCCUGCCCAGCAGGACCCACGCGCGGAAAGUAACGGUACUAACAACACGCUCACAAGCAGAAGGAGCAGCAGGGGGAGGAAACACCAGGGACACCCCAUCACGCAGGCCGGCCUGCAGGGGUUGGCCGCUGGCUACCCGGGAGUCGCCUGGCCCCAGCCCCGGCCCCGAGAAGGCAGGGGUUCUGGCCGCCGCUGCAGCGGGGGCUGCAGGGAGGGGCUGACACUCAGGGCUGUCGCCGGCCUGGCCCACGGGAGCAGGGCUUCCUGGCAGAGCGCUCCCCGCCGGGAGACUCCAGAGAGCACAGGUGGAUGGUGGAUGUGCCAGGGUGACGCUGAACGGACGGGACAGUGGUGACAGGAGGGUGGGGACUGGCCGAGGGCCCUGUGUGAGGGCCAGUCCGGGGAGUGCCAUCAGGGCCGACGGCAUCUGGGGCCACGGCCUUACUGGAAAGCGAGGCCUCCCCAGUGUGCAGCCAGGUCUCCACGCAAGGCCCCUGUUUGGGACCAGGCCCAUCUCCUCACACACCGGGGCCGUCAGGCCAUUACUCAGUGCCGUCCCAACUCCGCUGAGGGGCCAGAGCCAAGCUCAGUGCCAGGGCCCGGAGGCUGUCUCCACGAGUGCCCGGCUGGAGGGGAGGGGCGCGGCUGGAGCGGAAGAAUGCAGCUAACGAAGGGUGGGGAACAGCAGUGGCAGAGGGGGUGGGGGCCCACGACAGAGCUCGGGCACCCCACAGAGAGGGGGCGACAGGGAGGGGCACCAGGGAAAUGGCGCCAAGAAGAGGGGACACACUCAGCUCAGGCUCGGGCAGGGGAGGGGGAGGACACAGCAGGCACAGGACACGUGGAGCUCAGGGUGAGGCCGCGAGGAGUCCCUGAAAUGGGGGCUCGGGGAACCCUCGUCAAGCCGCAGCCUGUGCUCUGGAGACCUCAGGUCUGAACUCUGAGGUCACAGCCCCGCCGAGGAUCUAAUUAAAACAGAGAGCUGUCACCAGGAAAACGGGCUGUCGGACACACACCGGGCGGGUGCCCACAGCUUCUGAAGGUUCCGGGGACCCCAGAGGGCUUCCGACAGAGGCCCGGCAGGAAGAGGGACAGCUGGCCGCAGACACACGGGGAGAGGCUGCGUAGCCACAGAGACAGAGA